This is a long non-coding RNA of Pan troglodytes (chimpanzee), 1843 nucleotides long. RefSeq lists it as uncharacterized. The transcript is spliced from 3 exons. The record is from RefSeq and is a predicted model, not a curated record. Lineage: Eukaryota; Metazoa; Chordata; Mammalia; Primates; Hominidae.
CUAAGGGGUUUCCAUGGUUACAGAUGGAUACAGGCAGCCCACUAGGCUGGGUCCUUUCUCCAUAUUGUCUCCUGGGGAGACAAUGGGCUUUGGGGAUGGGGCGGCAUGCCACGCAGAUCAUUUCUAGAGCAGGGGCCAUGAGUGCCUGCUCUGUGAACCCCUGGACCCCAGCUGCUGGGACAGAAGGAGUUGGGCACAGGGAUCAGCCUUGGUAACCGACUGCUUGCUUUGGGGUACAACACUACUGCUACAGCAACUCAAGAGAGGCUGUCCGCUGAGCAACUCAAGCAAAUCUGAGGCUCCAAAACAGCCAAACUGCAGAGGCCUCCAGACUCACAGAGAGAACGUAACAGGAUUACUGCUGUGGCUGGAAGAGGCCAAUUCUGCAGCACCCAUCCGUUUGCAUGAAGUUUCAAAGCAGCUGCAGACAUCCAAAGCACUGGUUGUGGAAGCAUCAGAAAGGUGAAGCCACCCGCCUAAGACCGAAGAGCUAGAAGCAAAAGAGCCAAAUUUCAAAACUGCAAAGUGUUCCUGACCUCUGGGCUGUCCUGCUUCCUGGAAAUUGCCUGGGCAGUGCGCUCCAUCUUCCUGGGGCAUUUAACCCACAAGUUUGCUAGCAGCCAUGUUUUCAAGCUGCAACAACUACUUCUUGGAUGGUGAGAAUUGGGAGAGAUGGCAGAAGGCCUGGGGAAGAGUGGGGAUGCUGGGAAAGCCUCCUGGUGAGAAAGCUCAGGCCACAGCUGGGCCAGGGUCAUCCACAGCAGUCUCCAGGCUCUGACACCCCCUCCCCAACCCUGACUCCCUCCCAGGGGAGAGAAUAACUUGGCUCCAAAGCUGAGGCCAGAAUAUAAGCCAGAGACCUGCUGACCUGACCCCCCCCCCCCACCCUGGAAUCUACUGAAUCUGGGGCCAGGAGCGGGGAAGGGCUGACCCCAAACUGAACAAAUCAAAAAGCCAAGUUCCCCUCUCAGCCCUGCAAUUUUUUUUUCUUUUGGACCAAAUAAGGAAGGAGCACCUGUUACUUUAUAAUCAUACUGUAGGACAACCUCGAGUUGAAAGCCAUGGGAUCUGGAGUCUUGAAAACGCGGUUCAAGCUCCUAUCUUUUCUAUUUCCAAACUCAGUGUCCUAGAGCAACUCACUCACUUUCCCCAAGCUUCAGUUUUUCUAUCUAUGAAAUAGACAAUGAUACUCCUGUUAGAGGGCGCUUGUAAGGAUUUGGGGGACCAGAGGUUAAAUUCACUUCAUUUUAGUUCACCUACAUUACUUAUGUUUUGUUACAUGUCUUAAGUUAUGGUUUUAAUAAUCCCCCCACUCAAAAAUAAACAAGAUUAAAAGAAUAAUGAAAAUAGUUAAUAAUAAGUGUCAACAUUUAUGGGCACUGAUUUUGUGCUGUUUCAAGGGCUUUAUACACAUUAACUCAUUUAUCUUCAUAAAAAGCCUAUGAAGCCAUUAUACAGAUGAGGAAACAGGCUCAGAGAGGCUAAGCAUGUUGUUCAAGGUCACACAGCAUGGAAGAGGCAAGCCGACUGACUCCAGAGCCUUAGUUUUGUGCCAGUCAGAAUGGAAAAGAACUCCAAAAGACACCAACCUGGUUUAUUCAAGUGCUGGCAUGUAAGGAUAAGGAAAAGCAGCCGUCAGUUUGAAUGACAGGCGAUGGGUCCGGAGUAAUUAGCCAAAUGUAUGAAGAUUUCACCAUUUCUAAACCAUCCUGUUAUAUGACCACACAUACCAUCUUCAUGGAAGUGCAGUAGCAUCACCAUGACAACUACUUUUGUGUUUUUACCUCUAAUGUAAUCGAUUGUAUUUUAAAAUAUUUUUAAAUGAAUAAAAGCUUUUGAAUUU